UGAGUUUGUUAGGAACCUAUAAAAACGGUGGUAGUAAUUUCAUCGUAACGUCUUUCUUCGCCAGCCAUCUGACUGAGGAGAGGUUUAAGUUUUAUUUCUUCCCAAAAACGAAGAAUUGAUCACUGUCCGACGAUAUGUCGUACAAAACGGUAAUCUUGUGUUGUUUGCUACUUGUGGUAUUUUUUGUUGCAUCGGCACCAAUUGAUUCAGAUCCAACAGACACAAGAAAGAGAGAUGACAUUCCGUCAAUUGGUGAUCCAGAUGACUUCUUAAAGUUAAAACUGUUAAAAAUUAUACUUCUUAAAACAGCACUUUUAGGUUAAAAAAUGUAUUAUAUUUUAAUCUAAACAUUGACUGAGAUAAUCUUUAAUUAUAUUUAUUUUAUGUUUAAAAAUACAUUAAUCAUUUUUCAUAAUAAAUUACAUUUACUAUACUA
Long non-coding RNA from Acyrthosiphon pisum (pea aphid), 436 nucleotides. RefSeq lists it as uncharacterized. NCBI's taxonomy places the organism in Eukaryota, Metazoa, Arthropoda, Insecta, Hemiptera, Aphididae. The record is from RefSeq and is a predicted model, not a curated record. The transcript has 2 exons.